UGCGUAGGUGGUUUCUUAAGUCAGAGGUGAAAGGCUACGGCUCAACCGUAGUAAGCCUUUGAAACUGGGAAACUUGAGUGCAGGAGAGGAGAGUGGAAUUCCUAGCGUAGCGGUGAAAUGCGUAGAUAUUAGGAGGAACACCAGUUGCGAAGGCGGCUCUCUGGACUGUAACUGACACUGAGGCACGAAAGCGUGGGGAGCAAACA
Molecule: ribosomal RNA, 206 nt
Filed under: uncultured bacterium
Lineage: Bacteria
Also listed under: 1 other name
Description: partial 16S ribosomal RNA
Rfam family: Bacterial small subunit ribosomal RNA
Source: RNAcentral